RNAcentral lists this ribosomal RNA (433 nucleotides) under uncultured bacterium. RNAcentral's name for it is "partial 16S ribosomal RNA". It matches the Rfam family "Bacterial small subunit ribosomal RNA", at positions 29 to 507 of the family's 1533-position model. The record is from RNAcentral.
AACGAACGCUGGCGGCAUGCCUAACACAUGCGAGUCGAACGAGACCUUCGGGUCUAGUGGCGCACGGGUGCGUAACGCGUGGGAACCUGCCCUUAGGUUCGGAAUAACUCCCCGAAAGGGGUGCUAAUACCGGAUAAUGUCUUCGGACAAAAGAUUUGUCGCCUUUGGAUGGGCCCGCGUUGUAUUAGCUAGUUGGUAGGGUAAGAGCCUACCAAGGCGACGAUCCAUAGCUGGUAUGAGAGGAUGAUCAGCCACACUGGGACUGAGACACGGCCCAGAAUCCUACGGGAGGCAGCAGUGGGGAAUAUUGGACAAUGGGCGAAAGCCUGAUCCAGCAAUGCCGCGUGAGUGAUGAAGGCCUUAGGGUUGUAAAGCUCUUUUACCCGGGAUGAUAAUGACGGUACCGGGAGAAUAAGCACCGGCUAACUCCGUG